This 474-nucleotide ribosomal RNA is filed under the name uncultured bacterium. Its description in RNAcentral is "bacterial SSU rRNA". It matches the Rfam family "Bacterial small subunit ribosomal RNA", at positions 8 to 474 of the family's 1533-position model. The record is from RNAcentral.
AGAGUUUGAUCAUGGCUCAGAUUGAACGCUGGCGGCAUGCUUAAUACAUGCAAGUCGAACGGUAACAGAUUCUUCGGAAUGCUGACGAGUGGCGGACGGGUGAGUAAUACAUAGGAAUCUGCCCAUGUAGUGGGGGACAACUUGGGGAAACUCAAGCUAAUACCGCAUAAUUCCUACGGGAUAAAGAGGGCCACUGCUUGCAAGCUCUUGCUACUGGAUGAGCCUAUGUCGGAUUAGUUAGUUGGUAAGGUAAUGGCUUACCAAGACAGCGAUCCGUAGCUGGUUUGAGAGGAUGAUCAGCCACACUGGGACUGAGACACGGCCCAGACUCCUACGGGAGGCAGCAGUAGGGAGUAUUGGACAAUGGGCGCAAGCCUGAUCCAGCAAUGCCGCGUGUGUGAAGAAGGCCUGCGGGUUGUAAAGCACUUUCAAUUGGGAAGAAAGAUUAUGAGUUAAUACCUCAUAAUAUUGACG